Molecule: non-coding RNA, 2833 nt
Organism: Xyrichtys novacula (pearly razorfish)
Lineage: Eukaryota; Metazoa; Chordata; Actinopteri; Labriformes; Labridae
Source: the annotation of a GenBank genome assembly
GUUAGGAUUGUCGUUGAGGCGAGGGAAAGUUCCAAGUCUGCUCGUUCCUGUGUAUCAAAAUCAGAGUACAUGCAGCUUCUUUGUAGGAUCCGCGCUAAUGUCCUUCCCACUUUCACUACAGUCAAAGCUUUAACAAAAUUACUUUUCCAUAAACAAAGAAGUGUUUCACAUAAACACACACUGGGGUAUGAGAGGGAGAAAGACUGUGUGUAUUGUAAGGAGUGAAUGUGGCUGAAGCAAAUGCAGGGAAAAGCAGAGUGCCGUGAAAGUCACUUACAAUUUAGAGAGCUACUUAGUCAAGGUCAUUAUUGUACCAAGUCUUUGUAUGUGAGUGUGUGUGUCUCUGCAUAUGUGCAAAUAUCUGUGUGUCCGCAGAGUGAAUACAAUAAUGCAGCCAUUUUCAGCUAUAGCAGAGUGCAGUAAAACCAUUAAGUGUCUGACAGAAGUGCUGACUGUAGAUUACAGCAGCCCUAAAUCUGAGCCGAGCAUUAUGAGGAUGGUAUGCUCCAAAACACCAUGAAUGGAGAAUAACAAACAAGAAACUUGUUAUGUUACUUUUAUUCAAGACGAUGUUUGCUGAUGCUCGAUGUCCCAGAGUGGUUAUAAUGAUGUUGUGGUAUUGUGCCAGUCAGAAGGUGACAGAUUUGAAUUUAGUAGCAGCCAGAAGCAUUCAGCUCUGUUUAGGUGUCCUUCAGCUGACCCAAAAAGAGCGCACGCUACAUUAAGUUGGUUUCAUUGGACUGGGGUUGUUAAACCAAGGGGAAUAAUAUGAAAUGUAACAGUACCAGAAACCUUUAGCUAUCGCACUGACCUUUAAAAAUAGUUCACAUACAGUUUAUGCAAAAAUUAAAGGACAAUUCUGCGAAAUGAUUUGGAAAAAGUGAUCACCUCUCUUACACAUAAAAAGGAUAAUUAAUUUAGGGUCAAACACACCGUAACACCGAGUUAGACACCCCCUCCAGAGAUGUAUGUUGCCGACCGCUUGCUUCUCUAGUUAGACCAACUUUAGUAAUGACCGCACGAUAGCAAUACACAGCGGUCUGAGGAGCCAUGAACAAACCUCAACCACAACGCCACUCUAUAGCCACAAAUAAUGCUCAGAACAGCACCUAACUUCAUCAUCAGUACAUAUAGGGUCCCAGCCACAGCACUAGCCACCAAACAUCUUUUUAACUUUGCCUGUUUUCUUUAGCAAAGAGACUAAACACAACUCACCUACUCUCUUCCAGCAGCCGCUUGUUUGUAGCGAGACCUCGGGCCAGUCCAUUACGGACUGCUCUAGGGUCCAUUUAUGAUCAUUUCAUCAUGGAAAUGCAAUCAGACCAAGACGCUAAGGCAGAAGAACUACCAUGUCUGCAGUGCAAAAUGACCAAUAUGGUGAUUAUUACGUCAAGGAAAUUAUAAAGUAAUGAUCAUAAAUAAUAAGCAAGCAGCUGCAGGAAGAGAGUAGGUGAGUUGUGUUUAGUAUCUUUGCUAAAGAAAUUAGGCAAAGUUAAAAAGAUGUUUGGUGGCUAGUACUAUGGCUGGGACCCAAUAUGUACUGUUGAUGAAGUAGGGUGCUGUUCUGAGCAUUAUUUGUGGCUAUAGAGUGGCGUUUUGGUUGAGGUUUGUAUAUGGCUCCUCAGACUGCUGUGAAUUGCUAUUGUGCGGUCAUUACUAAAGUUGGUAUAACUAGAGAAGCAAGCGGUCGGCAACAUUUAUCUCUUGACAGGGUGUAUAACUCGGUGGUACAGUGUGUUUGACCCUAAAUUAAUUUAACGCCAGAAUAUCCCUUUAACCCAUCUAGUUCAGGGUUUGACAAAUAAAAAAGGUAAAAUCGGCCUUGUGUUUACAGUUGUGGCUUUUUGCCACUUUAUGAAAAAGACUUAAGGUUAUUAAAAGAACGUUUUUGAAUUCAUUUACCUCUUUCAAUGAUGCUUAAAAACCAAAACAAAAAAAACUGACUAUCAGUCUAGAUGUUAAAGUGUCGCACUUCAAACACAGGAAAAAAACAUUUCAUCAGAAGCCAAUUUUAGUGAUUAUGACUGAUGUUUGUGUCUAUGUGUUUCAAACAACAGGUAAAAAGAGAUUUGGCAGCUGAGCUACAAAAUGAAAAAAACUUUCUUUCAACUAGAACAAGGUGAGAGGCGACUGACGGAGUGCUGAAAUGAUCCAGAUGCACAAUCUAUUCAUCAUUACAAGAAAUAAGAUGAUUGACAGACAACUGAUCUCAACUUCAGUCUCGCGGUUAAACUAAGGUGGAUGGUUGUGAAGGGGGAGGAGGUGAAAUGGAAAAAAGACAGAGCAGAAAAAGAGAUUGAGGAUGUAGUUAGGGAAGAGAAAGAGAGAGAGAGAGAGAUAAGCAGCAUGUGUGAGCCUCUAACCACCAGCUGACACUUUUCAUCUGUUGUGUUGUGUCUGCUCGCCUGUUUCUCCAUCGGAGCAGUGUGGGUUUGUCUGAAUACAUCAAAACAGCCAGAAAAAGCGAGCUUGAGAGAAGAGAGAAAGAGAGAGACAGAGAGGGAGGAAGAAACAGAAUUUUCUUAGAGAGACUCCAGCAACAGCUUUCUGUCUCUCUUUCUCUUUCUUUUAGUUUUCUCUGUGUAAUAUCAUUUCCCCUCUCUGUCCUGUUUUUAUCGCUCUGGCCCCACACCCCCGCCCCCACCCAGCUUUCUCUCUCUCUUAGCGUCUCCUCUCAGAAGCAGAGUUGGGAGUUGGGAGCAAAAGGCAGGAGACAGACAAGAUAAAAGCUGUUUCCUGAUUCCUCAGCGCUCAGCUUCUCUGCUGUCAGGCAAGAAGACAGCGAGUCAAGACGGAGAAUUUCUUGCCAGAAGUAUCCCCACACAGCUGCUGU